Molecule: ribosomal RNA, 252 nt
Filed under: uncultured bacterium
Lineage: Bacteria
Description: partial 16S ribosomal RNA
Rfam family: Bacterial small subunit ribosomal RNA
Source: RNAcentral
UACGUAGGGGGCAAGCGUUGUCCGGAAUUAUUGGGCGUAAAGCGCGCGCAGGCGGUGAUUUAAGUCUGAUGUAUAACCCCCAGGCUCAACUUGGGAUGGCAUCGGAAACUGAAUGACUGGAGUGUAGGAGAGGAAAGUGGAAUUCCACGUGUAGCGGUGAAAUGCGUAGAGAUGUGGAGGAACACCAGUGGCGAAGGCGACUUUCUGGCCUAUAACUGACGCUGAGGCGCGAAAGCGUGGGGAGCAAACAGG